CCUACGGGAGGCAGCAGUGGGGAAUAUUGGGCAAUGGGCGCAAGCCUGACCCAGCAACGCCGCGUGAAGGAAGAAGGCCCUCGGGUUUUAAACCUCUUUUCUCAGGGACGAAGAAAGUGACGGUACCGGAGGAAUAAGCCACGGCUAACUACGUGCCAGCAGCCGCGGUAAUACGUAGGUGGCAGGCGUUAUCCGGAUUUACUGGGUGUAAAGGGUGUGUAGGCGGGGAAGGAAGUCAGAUGUGAAAACCACGGGCUCAAACUGUGGCCUGCAUUUGAAACUGUUUUUCUUGAGUGCUGGAGAGGCAGGCGGAAUUCGUGGUGUAGCGGUGAAAUGCGUAGAUAUCACGAAGAACACCGAUGGCGAAGGCAGUAUGCUGGACCGCGACUGACGCUGAAGCGCGAAAGCGUGGGGAGCGAACAGGAUUAGAUACCCCUGUAGUC
RNAcentral lists this ribosomal RNA (443 nucleotides) under uncultured bacterium. RNAcentral's name for it is "partial 16S ribosomal RNA". It matches the Rfam family "Bacterial small subunit ribosomal RNA", at positions 338 to 795 of the family's 1533-position model. The record is from RNAcentral.